Equus caballus (horse) is the source of this 7962-nucleotide non-coding RNA. NCBI's taxonomy places the organism in Eukaryota, Metazoa, Chordata, Mammalia, Perissodactyla, Equidae. The record is from RefSeq and is a predicted model, not a curated record.
CAACAGAUGUUAGCUCAGGGCCAAACUUCCUCACCAAAAAAAUAAAAAUAAAAAAAAUAAAUAAAAACGAUCAUGUUCAUACCUGUUGCAUGGGUAGGUAUUAAUAACAUAAUAUACCUAUAAAGAGCUUAACACAGGGUUUGGCAAGUAGUGGGCAUUCAAAUAAUAGGAAUUUUAUUUCUCCCUUCUCUUUCCAUCCUUCCUUCUCUUUUUUUCUGUUUUCUUUUCUUACUUCAAAUGAAAAGCUGACUUAUCUUUCCAAAUUGGAAUAAUAAUGAUAAACUUUCGAACACUCCCAUAGUGCCUCUGCUGUGCUUUUUCUACGUUGUUUCAUAAAUGAGACAUCAUAGCCUAAUGAUCGCACAGUUUGAUGCUAUUAUCUUUUUCUAGAUGAGAAGACUGAGGCUCAGAAAGGCUAAGAAACUCAGCCAAAGGUUGCACAGGUCCUAUCUAGAAGAACACAACCCUACCUUCUGAACCCUCCCAGAGAAACGAAAGUGUUUGAGCAUUAAUUCUGUUGAGGGGUGAUCCUCAAACUCCAGCUGUUCUUUGUAUGGCUAAGAGUGCCAUUAACUGGAUGCGACUCAGCACUGAGCUUUUUCCUUACUUUUGAGUGGGCCACAAGUGGCCACAAACUGAAAAAGGCAUAGGAUGAGAGAGCUAAAACAAGGGAAGAAAUGAACACACCUCUGCAUAAUUGUGUAACAUGUCAACUCAUUUGUGAGAAAUUACGAGGCAGUUAUGAAUAUAUUCCUAGUCCCUUCGUGAGCUUAGACUGCACAAUCUCUGAGAAUAGAUAUGUAUCCUUGGGAGCCACGCUUGUGUUUGGUUCAACAGUUACUCAUUAGCCAAUCCAGGGAGGGAAGAGGCUGCUCUGAAACCCCUACUAGUGCACAGAUCUUAAAGAGAACCGGGCUAAAAGGGCCCGCACUACCCAGGCUGGAUUGCAGGACCUCUAGCACUAAAAGUCUCUCUCCCCCUGGAUCAUUUUGUGGAAGCUGGAGUGUGACACACAUUACUGUCUACCAGAAUCUCCCAGAUGAUUGCUUUCAAGCUGCAGUUCUCCACCCUGGCUGCACAUUGGAAUCACCUGGGAGCUUUAGAAAAUCCUAAUGUUUGGGUUCCACCCUCCAGAGAUUGUGAUUCAGUGUUCUGAACAUGAGUAUUUUAGAAACUCCCCAGGCAAUUCUAAUCUGCUGCCCAGACUGAGCACCAGUGCCUUAAGCCUGUUGUACCUACACAGCCUCGUCUGACGGCACUUUGGGAAAAAGAAAGAGUCAGGGCAGGACUGCAUCUUGUUCAACGUGACUCUCUCUAUCCAUCAGCCCAGCAAAUGGAGGGCGACUAAGAGCUCUGGGUAAUGACCUGCACUGGGGAGAGGGACAAUGGUCCUCGGCUAGGGGUAGAAGCAGUUUGGAGAAGCACGGAGGCUGAGCAGCAAUAUUCAAGCAGAGAUGUCAGGAGCCAUUUUCAAAUAAGUAAAUCUAAAUUUUUUGCUUUUUUCAACACAUAUGAGAUGAAAGCUGAGGUCAUAGUGGCAAAAUCAGAAUUCAGUCUCAAAACCUGAGCUCAUUCCACUGUACCACAAGCAUUUUCCAUGACUCGUACCCCAAAUCUCUAUAUGUGUUUCAAGCCCAGUGUUCAGGCAGAGACUCAUUUCCUUUUACCUCUGAGCUUUUUACUGCCUCUGAGCUCAUUUCACGUUCUCUUACUUAACGCCUCCCACCUCCGUUCCAUUCAUUAAGGUCUAGAUCAGGCCCAAACUCCCUCUGAGGUCUUCCCCAAAUACCCUAACCCACAUUGGUCCCUCCCAAUCCAGAAAUUACAUUAUACUUCCGAUUGGCAUCACGUGGACAAUUGUCACUUAAUAUAUGCAUGUACUUAAGUUCUCUUUCUACAACUGGAUUUUAAGUUUCCCGUGAGUAGGCAUCAUGCUUUACUUCUUCUGUGGUUCUUACAUGCCAGGCACAUAGUGGGUACUCCUGAAAUAUAUGAUCAAGUGAUGGAUUACGGAUACUAAUAAUCCUCAAUCUUCUCAAGGAAAGAAUAUAAAAAGCAAGCAAGACAGAUUCCAAGGAUGGAAUAUGAUAAAGAAUUAUCAUGUUAAACUUGAUAAAUGAGACUUUUUAAUGAGAGUGGAGUUCUUUCAGUGCACCUGUUUUACAAAUGUGUAAUCAGAUUUUAAGCACAAGACCCCUGCCCCCAACUUAACAUUUAGACACGACAUCAUUGUUUCCUAUGACUCAGUUAGAUUAUGAGAGCAUUCAACUAUCUCAGACUGUUUUUUCUAGAGUUUUCAUUUCUCUUUUUGUCCAUCUCCUUGACCUUCUCCCUUGUUUGAAAUCUAUAUUCUCUUCUUUACUGGAAAUUCUAACUCUAAACGUCCCACUGCAAAUCUGGCAUUUGAAAGAGAACUUCUGGGGCAUUGAGAUAAUUUUUCCCUCCUUUCCAAGAGCCAAGUUUCUUCCCUUUUAUUUUCCCAAAUGCCACAGCCAAUUAUGACCUGAAUACCUCAAUGAAUUCCAAGGAAAAAUGCCACUUGCUUGACUGACCUCAUUGUUGGGACCGUCUUUCAAAAGGGCUACUUGAACAUUUGUUUUUCUCCUUUUGAGAAAAUUCUACCAUUAGACCAUUUAAAAUAAUUUGUUAUUAUUCCAAUUCCUUUUAGCUAUAAUUUCAAAGUCUUUUUUUUUUUUGUACCUUACCCUUCCUAGAUUUCACUAGUCCCUUUUUAAUUAGGAGAACUGAAAAGGGGGGCUUCAUUAAGACAAUGAAGGGUGUUGUGGAUUCAAGACUCACACUCAUUCUGUGACGGAUCAAUGAAAGGUUGGCCACAGUUCACCUACAGGAGGAUUUGGAGUUUGAUACAGAACAUCGAUCAUCAUUUCUGGUGUCCAUCCAAAUGACCUCUGGACCUCUUUCAAAAGUCUGUGUGUCUGGCCCAUCCCCCUGAGAUGGACUUAAGAGAAGCCUGCGCAACAUCAGCAACAAUUUCACCUUUUUAAGAAAACAGAUGGGUUCAAUAAACUGUGGCUGUUGUUCUUAACUCACCUAGACCUCUGCGCCCCUUUUGCUGAAAAUAAACUGCUACAAGGGAGAAUGUGUAAUGUUCGCAGAGUUCAUUCAAACUCCAGCUCUCUUUAGAAUUAUGAGUGCUCAUUGUCUUAGAUUUCUAUUAGAUAGAGAAAAACAAAGCCCUUAGAGUAGAGAAUGAGAUAAGAAGGUUAUGGUCUCAUAUCCUCAUGAACCUUCAACUUCGGGCUCUACCUACAAGCACAUAGACCUCUCCAACACAACAAGAAGGUUCUCAAUUGCCUGUUGCUCCUCCACCAACAGAGUUUGACUGUCACCUGUGAACAAAACUUCUUUGGGUGCACCCUGUUACUAGAGAAACCAGGUCUGCUCAUGGUCCAGGACUGAAUUCACUCAUGUCAGAAGGCUGGAAAGUUUUGGGUAUCAUUUAUUUAUUACUUAAUAUCUUGUAUAAUAGGAAAAAAAAGAGCAGAACCAUUUGGACUCUGCUCAGUGAUGUCCUCAAAGCUCUGUUUCAACGGGAUUAAAAGAUUCCGUAGUGAGACCUCGCACAAAGGGGGGCUGCAGCGGUCCCCUAUGGCAGGAGUCCCGCAACAGCGGGUCUAGGUGCUGGUGUAUGGCCAGGAUGUCAGAGUUUUUAAAAACUCUACCGGUGAUUCAGCUAUGUCCCCAAGGUUUAACACCUCUGCCUAGAAUCACUUGAGGAGUUUGUCGAAAUGUGUGCUGCCUCGUGUUACGCCUGGUAACGGAGCACACGGAGAGCUGCCGGUCACCACACUGCCUUCCUUCGUUUCCCAGCCGUCUCUGAGGCCCUCCUCUGUGCAGCAUUGGAUUAAGUGUUGGGCAGAUAGUAGUGAUGUGGCAUCCACAGCCCUGGCCUCCAGGGACCUACCAUCCAGUAUCUUUCUCUUGGAUGGUAUUUGUAAGAAAGAGCGUGGGCUUCUAGUUCCUCCUUCGUUUAUGUCUGGGCACUGCUAUUAGUGACAACGCAUUGAGCCUCUGGAAGCUUGGUUUGCUCAUGAGCCAAGUAAGGAUAGUAAGACCUCCACACACUGUUACAGGUAUUAACUGUAAUCAUGUGUAAAUAUGCAUGAACAAAUAGAAGGCAUUAUUUCUGGGGACUCCCACUCAGAUUCUUUUUUUCCUCCUUUGGAUUUUGCUUAUCUUUUCCAUUUAGUCAGAGACAUUUUAGCAAUUCCAACUCCAUCUUUGACUCACUAUGCAGACUACAGCAAAGGAGUUAAUAUUUGGACCUAGUUUCUUUAUCUUGCUAAAGUGGGUAGCAGACUCCAAGAAUGCUAUGAGGAUAAUUUUUAAAAUGAAAACAUGGUUUUAGAUAGCGUGGCAUUUGAUAUCGCUAGGAUCCUGUCAUGAAUCUGUCAUUGUGAUUUCAGAAACUUGCUUUUGGCUGCAUUAGUCGCGGCUUUGGACUCUUUCUUAUGGGUGCGGACUCUGUUCAAUUCAAGGUUAGCCUGUUUUGCCAGCUUCCCAUCUUGGACAAAUCACUUUCCCCAUUUGCAUGGUCUCCUUAGCUCUGUGAUGCAGAGCUCCCAGGAAGAUGGAGAGGACAUUGUGAUGAUAUUUUGAUAUGGAUGUUAUUUGUUACAAAUCUAAAAGGAAUACAAAUCUGGGGUCAAGAACGACAAGGGUGAGAGAAGAUAAAGAUAGUCAGUUUUGUCAUGCUAACCUUCAUCUAAGACCCCAUUCACUUUGCAUCUCUUCUAUAGCAAUUGGCACUUUUGUCCCUUGUAUUAAAAUUACGUAUUAUAUUAGUUUUCUAUUGUUAUUAUAACAAAUUACCACAAACUUAGUGACUUAAAACAACAGAAAUAUUCUAGCCCACAGUUCUGGAGCUCGGAAAUCUGACAUGGCUCUCACUUGACUAAGAACAAGCUGUGGGCAGAUGGUAUUCCUUCUGGACACUCGAGGGGAGAAUUCAUUUUCUUGCCUCUUCCAGCUUCUAGAGGUCACAUUCCUUGGCUCUGAUUUUAGGGAAUCGUGUGAUUGGGUUGAUGCCACCCAAAGAAUCCAGGAUGAUGUCCUCUAUCACAGAGUCCUUAACCUUAACCACAUCUGCAAAGUCCCUUUCGCCGUGUAGGGUAACCUAUUCACGGGUCCCAGAGGUCAGGGAGUGGACAUCUUUGAGUGGCUAUUAAUGUGCCUACCACAUGUAUGUAUGUCUUAUUUCUUCUACUAGAUUGUAAACUUCUUGGGGCCCAAAAUGUGUAUCUGAUUUGUUGUGUUCUCCUCAGAAUCUACCCAACAGGACUACACACAACAAAGGGUUCAACCAGCAUUUGUUGAAUGAUCCAACAGAACUCAAAACAUUUCAAAGAUUCAUUGAAGCAAAUGGCAAACUCAUGGGGUUUCAAGAAUUCCUGAAAGAAUGGCUAUUUAGAUAUUUCCAAAUCCACUGGAAAAUUCACAAACACUUAAAUAAUUUUGUAAGUAUAGGAUUACAAAAAUUAUUUUUUAUCUUCAGUGCUUAUACAUGACUAUAGUUAUGUGCCCAUAUUACAUAUUCCAGGAUGCUCUGAUGAUGUUACUUUCCAGCUGGAUUCCUGUCUGUCAGUAGAGGUUAUUCCUGAGUGUUUUAUAGUGAUGAUAAGCACUAGUCAACAAUUGAAAAUCAGGUGCCACAGGAAAGACUGAGUAUUGCCCGUCAGAUGUCAGCCAUAGAAGGGUCAAGGGGAAAUUAAUAUGAUAGGGCUGGCUUGAGAUCUUGCCUUGGGCAAUUAACUUGCUGAUAAUUUGCAACAUUCAUUUUAUGUAGAAUUGAAUGUGAUGUGUUGCUAGACUCCCCAAAGGAGUAGCUUUUAAGAAAGGUGUCUUUUAUGGUUUGCAUCACACAGUUUUGCAAGUGGUGCAAAGCAGCUACAGACUCUGGAAUCUAUAGCUGGCAGGAGAAAUAAAUAUUUCCGUAUUGCAUUUGGCAAUUGCUAUGUAUUAAGGCAAUUUUGUUUAAAAAUUAUUAAGGGCUUUGUAGCACAAAGACCCUGUUAAAUUACACAGAAAGGAUUACAUUUAGGAGGUGGGGUGAACUGAGGGAUAUUGGAUAUGCAAGCACAGAUGGUCUUGAUCGACUCAUGAACACACCAGAGCCAAGGGGGAAGUGUAUGUUUUGUGUGGUUACAUAUGUUGUAAAGAAAAUUGCCCCUGGUUCUUUCCUGUAAAACAGUAUGAGGAGGGAAGAAAAGGGGAGAGACAAGACCACGCGGGGAAAGGUGAAGCAGAGACAAGAGCAGCAUAUGCAGCAGCUGUCUGGCCAAGGGAGGAACAAAGAGAGGGUGAGGAGGCAGGGGAGCCAAAUCCCUUCCCUGGCAGAAUGCCAUAUGGAAAAGAAACAACAUUUUAAAUGGGUUUCUGAAGAACUGCAAUUGACAUGAAUACCAGAAAACUUCACAAAACCACUAAAUAUUUGGCGAGCAUGGAGUCUACUGGAGGUUUUAAAAAGUCUGAAGACAAAUUGUUAUGUUAAGAGAAAAAGUCUUCCGACCAUGGCUGACCUAUCAACUGACCAAUGACUUUCCCCGCCGAGCAUUUAAAUCACCAGACUUCAGAACCAGAGACUUCCCUCAUUCCCCAGCCUCCCCGCCAAUGGUUUGGAAGGGGUCAGUGUAUUGCUUCGGCUCCCCUGGCGUGAGCAGGCACAAUGUCUGGUCUGGCCAGCCAUCCAAACCACUUUCCCAUACAUCAAGGAUCCAAAAUAAUUUCACCAGACACUCUAAAGUACAAAUGCAAUAUGCCAAUUUCCAUCUCACGUAUCUUCCUAGAAAACAGAGAUCUACCCACAGUCCAUGAUAUUUUUGCUCAUGGACUGAACACAGAUCUUGGCAGAUGUCUCAGAAACCCGGGAAUUGAUAUAUGGCUAGCGAUAGUGCUAAAUGCAGCAUCUUUCCUACUGGGCAUCAGUGCACAAUUACAAAGUGAAUAAUAAAGAAAGAGGGGGUCCAUAUUUGACCCUUUUUGAAAGGGCUUCUAGGGGUAAGAACAUAGUGAAUUUCAAGCCAGAAGGUGAUAUGACAUUACAGCAAUAGGGGUAUAAUACAUUUUCCUGAAGCCAUAAGUCCUCAUAGAAUUUUCAGAUAAAAAUCUUUGCAUUUCAAUGUCCAAGUCAGCAGUUUCAGUAAAACUGUACAUGUCAAAAGAAAAUACAUCAGUGCUGGGUUCAUAUUCUGAUUUCCUUGGACUUUGCAGUGGUGAGAAUUCUGCUGUUCUCCUUAGAAUGCCAGCCAAGCCUGAAAAAUACUUGUUAUAGAAUUUCAGAUGCUGACAAGGCCAGUCUGGUUUAUUCAUAACAAGUACUGUGAGAGUUGAAGACAUGCCACUUCAACUGAAUGGGGAAAAACGGGGCAUCUUUCUGAGCAUCAGUGGAGAAAUCUGUAAAUACUUAGCUGUUCUUCAAUCUGAGAUCACAUACGUGCCUUAGACUUCAUUCUACUUUUUGUGAAAAGAACUGUUUGUCUUUUGGGCAUGGAGGGAACAAGCUUUCCUCCACCCCCUUAGUGCCCCAUUUCUCUUCCAUUCAGAGCCAGAUCAAUAGCUACUGGUCACUCUUGUCCUCUGACUUCAUGGUGGUUGCCAGAGUUAAGCUUCCCUUACGCUCACAUCUCCAUUGAUGAAAGCUCAGGCUUGGGAGCUGGCCAGAGAACAGGGAGGUCAAAGCCACUGUCAGAUUCUGCCUCUGUUCAGCUACUUAAGCACCAGACUUGUCCCACAUAGAUCAUUACCCUCUCAGUCUCUGGCGAUUUUAAGUACCAAGCUUUAUUGACCUUCUGUGUAUCUGACUCUUCUAGCACUGUCGUCUUUUGGAAUCUAGCUGUAUUUCAUCUGUUAAGAAUUUUUGUGGUAUGAGAAAACUGUCUAUAAGCUGAAGCUAGCACCUAAUAAAUGACAGAGCUCUGCAGGCUUUGCAGGGGAGUACAUGAA